GCUAUAGUAGUUUAUAAAAAACAUUGGUCUUGUAAACCCAAACAGAGAACGAAAUUUCUCCUUAAGCU
Molecule: transfer RNA, 68 nt
Filed under: Vestalis melania
Lineage: Eukaryota; Metazoa; Arthropoda; Insecta; Odonata; Calopterygidae
Description: tRNA-Thr
Source: RNAcentral